This is a long non-coding RNA of Oncorhynchus gorbuscha (pink salmon), 544 nucleotides long. RefSeq lists it as uncharacterized. Lineage: Eukaryota; Metazoa; Chordata; Actinopteri; Salmoniformes; Salmonidae. The transcript has 2 exons. The record is from RefSeq and is a predicted model, not a curated record.
CAGCCCUUAUUUUAAGAGUUUCUAAAAUCCCCUAUGGGAAAAAUGAAUGGUGGAAAAACAAUUGGAACCAUUUCGUUGCCAGCAGCAACACAAAUGAGGAAAAAGUCAGUAUUUGGUAAAAGUCUUUAUUUCAACACCCUGCGGAAGGACCGCAGUUGUACAGGACAAACAUACAGCUUCUGCUCGACAUGGGUUAGCAUCUCCUCCAGGAGCUGGCUGGAGGCCCUGUCCGAGGGCGAGGGGGGGCGCUGGGCCCCAGGGGAGCCAGGAGGAGGGGCCACUGAGCUAUCUUCACUCCCGUGGAUGAUCUGGUGAGCCGCCUGGAGGUGCCUGCGCUGGCUCUGACGCACUGGAGGAAGGAAGGGGAGGGAGAAAGAGAGAAAGGUGGAAAAUGAGAGAGAGAGAAAGGUGGAUGAAGAGAUAGAGAGAAAGACAGAAGAGACUAAAGUAUUAUUAUGUAAUUAUUAUUGUGUUACUACACUAUCAUGUAUUAUCAGCAUGUGAUGGUACUGGGUGCUUUGGGAAUAAACGGCCUACCUCUGUC